CCCUUAGAUGUUCUGGGCCGCACGCGCGCUACAAUGGCAGACUCAGCGAGUUACCUCUGUCGAAAGGCACAGGGAAUCUUUACAGUAUCUGCCGUGAUGGGGAUAGACCCUUGUAAUUUUUGGUCUUCAACGAGGAAUUCCUAGUAAACGCAAGUCAUUAACUUGCAUUGAUUACGUCCCUGCCCUUUGUACACACCGCCCGUCGCACCUACCGAUUGAAUGGUCCGGUGAAGUCCUCGGACCCAGUUGGACCUCGAGUUGAACAGGGAAAGUUGACUAAAUCUUACCAUUUAGAGGAAGGUGAAGUCGUAACA
Molecule: ribosomal RNA, 314 nt
Filed under: uncultured eukaryote
Lineage: Eukaryota
Description: partial 18S ribosomal RNA
Rfam family: Eukaryotic small subunit ribosomal RNA
Source: RNAcentral